This 2790-nucleotide ribosomal RNA is filed under the name Triticum aestivum (bread wheat). RNAcentral's name for it is "partial small subunit ribosomal RNA". Lineage: Eukaryota; Viridiplantae; Streptophyta; Magnoliopsida; Poales; Poaceae. The record is from RNAcentral.
AUGGCAGUUACAGAGAUGGCAGUGAGCAUCGGCACCGGAGCCAUCAACUCCGUCAUCAGCAAGCUAAAUGACCUGCUCGGCGACGAGGUCACCAGCCUGGUCGGGACAGCCCUGCUCGGCAAGAAAGUCAAGCUUGGUAUCCAGUACCUGAGAAACGAGCUGAGCAGCAUGAAAGCCGUGCUGCUCAGGCUCUCGGACAUGGAGGAGCACAUGGAACCGCAGACCAGGGAGUGGAGGGACAGGGUCCGGGAUAUGUCGUUCGAGAUCGAGGACUACAUUGACCGCUUCGUGCAGCGCCGCCGCGGCCAUGGAGGCUCCCAGUCCCAGGGGGGUGAUGGUGGCCUCGUCAGCAAGGCCGUGAGAAAGAUCAAGAGUGUGUGGGACGACUUCCAGACUGGCAAGGAGAUCGAUGAGCUCAAAGCCAUGGUAGUCGAGGAGAGCGAGCGGCGCAAUCGGUACAACAUUGACCAGUGCCUCCCGCUGCCUCCACCCCAUGUUCCCUUGGACCAAGCAGGACUACGCACGCAGUACGAGGCGGUCAGAAAUCCGGUGGGCAUUGAUGGCCCCCGGGAGAAAAUAUUUGGGUGGCUGAUGGAGCAAGACGCGAAACCAAACGUGGUGGCCAUCUUUGGGAUUGGAGGCUCCGGCAAGACCACUCUGGCCUUGGAGGUGUACAACAAGAUCCAACAACAGUUUGAUUGCCGGGCUUUCAUCUCUGUUUCUCGAACUCCCGACAUCAAGAGGCUUUUGAAACAUAUCCUCUUUCAAGUCAAUGAAGAAGAGUACAACAACUCAGAAAUGUGGGAUCUGGAGCAGCUGAUACUCAAGCUCAGGGAACACUUGAAAGACAAGAGGUACUUGAUUGUUAUUGAUGAUAUCUGGAGCACAACGGCUUGGCAACAUGUCAAAUUUGCCUUACCUAUUGAUAAUAUCAAACGAAGUAGAAUAAUUGCUACAACACGUAAUAAGAAUGUGGCAACGUCAUGCUGUGCUGACAUGGACGGGCAUAUGUAUGAAGCGAAGCUUCUAACUGUUGAUGAUUCCCGCAGUUUAUUCUUUGGAAGAAUCUUUUCUUCAGGCGAAUGUUGUCCCCAAGAAUUGCGGGAAGUUGCAGAUGAAAUAUUGAAGAAAUGUGGUGGAUUGCCAUUGGCCAUAAUCAGUAUAGGUAGUUUAUUAGCCACCAAAAGUCGAACAGUCGAAGUCUGGUCGAAAAUACGGAAGUCUGUUUCUUCUGCAGUCCAGAAAGAUUGUCCACUUGACCAAAUGAAGAGAAUAUUGCUCCUUAGUUAUCUUGACCUUCCACACCAUUUAAAGGCUUGUUUUUUAUAUCUGAGUGUCUUCCCGGAGGGUUACUACAUUGACAGCAGAUUUUUGAUAUGGAAUUGGAUGGCUGAAGGCUUAAUUGGUGGAGAAAACAGAGAAGAUAUGGAGAGGCUUGGAGAAAGCUAUUUGAAUGAGCUUAUCAAUAGAAGCAUGAUUCAAGCAAGAAAGAUUGGGGCAGAUGGCACAAGAGUGAAAAUCUGCGGAGUCCAUGAUAUUGUGUUGGAUUUUAUUGUAUCUCAAGCUGCGGAAGACAAAUUUGUGACUGUGUUGAUAGAUGGUAAAUACCCUUCAUGGAAGAUUCGCUGGCUAUCCCUCCACUUGAACUCUUCUCAAGCUGCAGAUUUGCCAAUAAAGGAUGCAUCGCAUCUUCGGUCACUCAAUAUAUUUGGACCUAGAGGUAAGCAACUGCCUCAAAAUUGUGAAGCUUUGCGAGUGCUGAAUAUAGAAGGCGUUGUGAAGUCUAAGAAUUGUCACGUUGAACACAUUGGAAGUUUCUAUCAACUGAAGUACCUGAGGAUCAUUGGUUACCAGAUCACAAGUCCCGACACAACCAUAACCGAGCUUCCGGAACAAAUUGGCAAUCUGCAACAUCUAGAGGUAUUAGAUCUUAGAGGUUAUAGAAUUCUGAAACUACCAGCAACUAUUGUUCAAUUAAAGAAACUAGUGUGCCUUUUUCUGGAUGAGAUCUUUACCCCGCUGCCUGAUGGAAUUGGGAAUCUGCAAUGCCUGGAGGAGCUAUCAGGGAUCAAUCUCUGUAAUGCAUCUGUAAGGUCUGUUCAAGGGCUCGGGGAGCUGACCAAACUAAGGGCACUGAAGAUUAAAUGGAUUUUAUGUUUUGAUAGGGUUCUCGAUGAGGAAGAUCACAUGAGAGUGUGUGCGUCAACUCUGUCCAAGCUCGUUGCGAACAGCCUCCGUUCGCUGCACUUCACUGGGAUCAAAAGCUCUGAUUUCUUAAACUCAUGGGUGUUUCCGAGUGGCUCCCCUCCUCCACCUCUCCGGAGGCUCUUCCUGGAGGGGGUUGGAAAUUUUGAUUUCCCCGCCGUACCAAGCCAGAUCAGAUCCCUCAUCAACCUCACCCGCCUUAGCAUCAGAUAUGUUCGUGAAAUGGGAGAAGAAGGUGUCAAUAUCCUCGCCAGUCUACCCAUGCUGCUCUCUCUUACAAUAUUGUUGCUCUACACCCAACGCCAGAGUUGUGUCAUCAGCAGCCAAGGAUUCCAGCGUUUAGUGAAGCUGAACUUUCACGGCGAGACCUGCCUGAUGUUUGAGCCAGGAGCCAUGCCAAAGCUCCAGAGGUUGAAACUAGUUGUGUUCCGAUGGCCAGAGCAGUACAACCCUGGAUUGCUCCACCUUUCAAGCCUCAAGCAUGUCAGUAUCUGGAACUGGAGGCGGGAUCGUGGUGUGGAGGAUUUGAUGGAUGAAAUCAGAAGCGUCCAUCCAAACCAUCCAAUACUGGACAGGAGGGUCUGA